Thalassophryne amazonica is the source of this 72-nucleotide small nucleolar RNA. RefSeq annotates it as small nucleolar RNA SNORD2. The transcript has a single exon. Lineage: Eukaryota; Metazoa; Chordata; Actinopteri; Batrachoidiformes; Batrachoididae. The record is from RefSeq and is a predicted model, not a curated record.
GAGUGAAGUGAUGUUUAACCAUCUUUCGGGACUUACUGAUUAAUGGGGAUUAUUUUACUUUACUGAUCACUC